RNAcentral lists this unclassified non-coding RNA (393 nucleotides) under Hevea brasiliensis (rubber tree). Lineage: Eukaryota; Viridiplantae; Streptophyta; Magnoliopsida; Malpighiales; Euphorbiaceae. The record is from RNAcentral.
UAUCCAGACACCCUCAAAUACUAUACUUUCAGAAUCAAUCGCUAUAUAUGCAAUCACACCAUAUGCUUUGCACAAAGAAACAUGUUUACAUAUGCUCUUCUACUUCUAGUAGACCUAUCUCUUUGACCUUUCACAUCUAAUGAUCAAAAUGAAAACAAAAUUAAAAAAGAAACCAGGCAAAUUCAAAAAAUUGCAAAAGGCAUUGUACAAAUUGCAACAAAUGAGGUAGACCUGGAAGGAUAAGUUUCACAGUCUACCGGAUAUUUGGAUAGGGACGAAUAAACGCAGUAUUCAUUUGCCAUAUCUGGAGCGAAGCAGUAACAUUGGCUUCAAUGGCAUUGUUGAACAAAAAGAGCCUGGCACUUCCAUAGAUUGCCCUUGUUGGAUAAACCC